RNAcentral lists this transfer RNA (60 nucleotides) under Tenuidactylus caspius. RNAcentral describes it as "tRNA-Trp". The record is from RNAcentral. Lineage: Eukaryota; Metazoa; Chordata; Lepidosauria; Squamata; Gekkonidae.
GAAUUUAGGCUAAACAUAAACCACGAGCCUUCAAAGCUCUAAACAUGAGUAUAACCUCAU